AGAGUUUGCUCCUGGCUCAGGACGAACGCUGGCGGCGCGCCUAACACAUGCAAGUCGAACGAGCGAGAGAGAGCUUGCUUUCUCGAGCGAGUGGCGAACGGGUGAGUAACGCGUGAGGAACCUGCCUCAAAGAGGGGGACAACAGUUGGAAACGACUGCUAAUACCGCAUAAGCCCACAGCUCGGCAUCGAGCAGAGGGAAAAGGAGCAAUCCGCUUUGAGAUGGCCUCGCGUCCGAUUAGCUGGUUGGUGAGGUAAUGGCCCACCAAGGCGACGAUCGGUAGCCGGACUGAGAGGUUGAGCGGCCACAUUGGGACUGAGACACGGCCCAGACUCCUACGGGAGGCAGCAGUGGGGAAUAUUGCACAAUGGGGGAAACCCUGAUGCAGCGACGCCGCGUGGAGGAAGAAGGUCUUCGGAGUGUAAACUCCUGUUGUUGAGGAAGAUAAUGACGGUACUCAACAAGGAAGUGACGGCUAACUACGUGCCAGCAGCCGCGGUAAAACGUAGGUCACAAGCGUUGUCCGGAAUUACUGGGUGUAAAGGGAGCGCAGGCGGGAAGACAAGUUGGAAGUGAAAUCUAUGGGCUCAACCCAUAAACUGCUUUCAAAACUGUUUUUCUUGAGUAGUGCAGAGGUAGGCGGAAUUCCCGGUGUAGCGGUGGAAUGCGUAGAUAUCGGGAGGAACACCAGUGGCGAAGGCGGCCUACUGGGCACCAACUGACGCUGAGGCUCGAAAGUGUGGGUAGCAAACAGGAUUAGAUACCCUGGUAGUCCACACCGUAAACGAUGAUUACUAGGUGUUGGAGGAUUGACCCCUUCAGUGCCGCAGUUAACACAAUAAGUAAUCCACCUGGGGAGUACGACCGCAAGGUUGAAACUCAAAGGAAUUGACGGGGGCCCGCACAAGCAGUGGAGUAUGUGGUUUAAUUCGACGCAACGCGAAGAACCUUACCAAGUCUUGACAUCCUGCGACGCACAUAGAAAUAUGUGUUUCCUUCGGGACGCAGAGACAGGUGGUGCAUGGUUGUCGUCAGCUCGUGUCGUGAGAUGUUGGGUUAAGUCCCGCAACGAGCGCAACCCUUACUGUCAGUUACUACGCAAGAGGACUCUGGCAGGACUGCCGUUGACAAAACGGAGGAAGGUGGGGAUGACGUCAAAUCAUCAUGCCCUUUAUGACUUGGGCUACACACGUACUACAAUGGCGUUAAACAAAGAGAAGCAAGACCACGAGGUGGAGCAAAACUCAGAAACAACGUCCCAGUUCGGACUGCAGGCUGCAACUCGCCUGCACGAAGUCGGAAUUGCUAGUAAUCGUGGAUCAGCAUGCCACGGUGAAUACAUUCCCGGGCCUGUACACACCGCCCGUC
This 1368-nucleotide ribosomal RNA is filed under the name uncultured bacterium. RNAcentral describes it as "bacterial SSU rRNA". It matches the Rfam family "Bacterial small subunit ribosomal RNA". The record is from RNAcentral.